AGGAGAGCAAACACAGCCGUUUAUUACAGCAUCAGUGUAUGGGAGGUGGUUUCCUUCACUUGGAUGAGGACAUAGUAUCAUGAAUUCGCGGGGAUCUCGCGUACGUGGUUUGAGAAUGUUUUAACGUUACUUGCCAUGAGCAUGAGCUUAUUCUGACUAUCUUUUGUUUCUGCAUUUCUUAAAUAUCUGUAUCCAAUAAAACACAUUACCAUAAUUCAAUGCAUUUACGAUGUAAUACAUGCUGUCCUGUGGCUAAAGGUAGGCUAUAUACAGCGAAUCAAUGAGUUACCAGCCGUCAUUUUUGGUCAGCAUAUGAUUCCUUACAGGCUUAGUGGUACAUUGUCGUGAUAGGAUUAUGGAAAGAGAAGAUUUACCACGCAAAGACUAAAAGGUGUGGAUUCUUUAAGGCGAAAGUUCAUAAAUUGAACGAUUAUGGAGAUAAGACCCCGAAACAAAUGAAAAGAGUUAUUUCUACCUUCAGGCAAUGACUUAAAAGUGGAUCGUCUGUGAACGUCCAUAAUGGCUGACACUGUUUUCCUGUGGAUGGCCUACACUUCAGUGUAAAAACACAAAAGGAAGCUGUCACACGUCUCGAGUUUGCUCUAAAGGGAGGUGGAUACAUAUCAAUCUGUACAUCCCCAGUUGCCCCAGGAACCCUUGUGAAAAUUCCAUCCUGAUCCAAAGACUUGAAACGUAAUGAGCCAAAACAUGUUUUUUCUUAUUAUAGUGCCAAUGAUUGCUGAAAUGGGGCCAUUCUUUAUGGACUCCCUUUGGACAAGGUCUUGAGUCAGUCCACCAAGUUAGAUGUAGAUACAUCAAACUGUUGCAGAGGU
Clupea harengus (Atlantic herring) is the source of this 833-nucleotide long non-coding RNA. The record is from Ensembl. Lineage: Eukaryota; Metazoa; Chordata; Actinopteri; Clupeiformes; Clupeidae.